CAGCAUGCCCCAGGGCCCCUCCCUUGUGCAGGGCCCAUGCGGGGCUCUCAGAAGCUGCGCCCACGCAUUCCCACCCCAGACUCUGGACACGGAAACUCAUUUGAUGAAGUUUCACUUCUGUUUCUUGACACCUCCCAGCUUGUUCCAUCCCCUGGAGAGGAGAGAGGGUGUGGAAAAGAGUCCUGGCCUGAAACUAAGAGGAUGACUCAAGGCAGCUUUUAAAAACGCCGACUGCAGAAAUCAGGAAAGAGAUGGAAGUGGAUGUGAUCCUGGCCUGGCGCAUUCAUGCUGGCACCUGCGGCACUCUCAGCACAGAGCCACCAUUCAGUGACAACUCUGAAGUCCACACUGAGAGCGCCGGGUCAAGCAGAGCCAGCCUCCCAGAGUUCUGGUGAGAAUUCCGUGAGUUAAGCCGUGCAGAGGGCAGGCGCAUGGUGAAUUCUCAAUAAAUGUUUGCUAUUAGCUUCAGCACACAGAGCUGAGGUGGACCCUGAGGGCCUGUUUGGAAUGUGCAGCUAGCAGUGGGGACCGGCAUUUCCUCACUGGCCAGACCGCACAUCCUCUCCCCACGAGCAGCCCUCCACCCUGAGUCCGAGUCAAGGGAAGUGGAUAUUCAACGACACCAGGUUGGGGGGAGCAAAUCCAUUCCAUCAGGGCUGCCCUGACCAGCAGCUCCAGGGUGCCCAUUGGCUCUGAGCCGCUCUCCUCAGAAUGUGCCUGGGUGGGCUCUGCCGGACCAAACCCCAGCCCCCAGGACACCUCUCUCCUUUAUGUUGCGGAAUAUAUUUGGCCAGAUGGGGAAAAGUCCGCAAGGCAUAUUUCCAACGCUGAGCCUGUGUGUACUUGGGCACUGAGGAUUCCAGGAGGGCAAAUGGGCCAUGGUCCCUGUCUUCAUGGAGCUCCACGAUGCUCACACCUCCUUUCGCAUUUGCUGGCCUCUCUGAGCCCAUCUCCCUGCUCACUUCCACAGCACUCUGCAAGCCCAGAAGACCCUCCCAUAUUAGAAUGCUCCUCCCAACCAGCUCCUCAGCCAGGACCCCCUUUUUCCUGUUUGUUGUCUGUCUUUCCCACUCAGAUGGAUGUCCAAAGGGCAGGGGCCCUGUCUGUCUUGUAGACUGUCGCAGGGGCCCCGUCU
RNAcentral lists this long non-coding RNA (1135 nucleotides) under Equus caballus (horse). Its description in RNAcentral is "lncRNA (ENSECAG00000053994.1)". Lineage: Eukaryota; Metazoa; Chordata; Mammalia; Perissodactyla; Equidae. The record is from RNAcentral.